GGAUUUUCAAUCCUGAAUUUGAAGUUACACGGGAUAGAGCAACAUAUAACUGUUCGUGAGUGAAGACUGCUUGUGGGUGAAAGGAUGCUUGGUGUCAGUAGGAGACAAAACAAUCCUUGGGAUGAGGACAAUUUCCCCAACAUGAGUACCAAUUUUGCAGGAGCAUUAUUGGUACCCCUACUUUCAAGCGGAUAUGAUGGUUUGGUAGGCCUGGAAACUCUAUGGAGUUUAAAUACCCGAUUGUGUAUAAGUCAUUCCAGUCUACACCUUGUGCAAGCUCUGUCUGGAUUGAAUCAGAACUUAAAUAUUCUUUACUCUCACCUGGAACCAUUGAUAGCUGGUAUUCGUUUAUUUCACGGACAGUCUCAUUCCAAGGAGUUAGGAUUGCCCUCUCCAUUAGGUAGUGUCUCUCCUAGAAGGAUUGAGAAAACACUGGAUAUGCAGGAUUUGAAAUCGCUGUUAGAUGGUUGCAUGCGUUUGGUAGAAUUAAACUUUCCUCUAUAGCGAUUCUGGACCCAUCAACAUGUUCAUCAACGUUUGUACUUGCUGAUAGUGAAUUUCUGUAUCCCACUUUUGAAAUCCAAGCUGCAUCAGACUUGUUUAGCCUCAUGUUUAUUGUUAGUUUGUAAUUUUGACAGGGAGUCCAAAGAUGAGAUCGA
Molecule: non-coding RNA, 659 nt
Organism: Camelina sativa (false flax)
Lineage: Eukaryota; Viridiplantae; Streptophyta; Magnoliopsida; Brassicales; Brassicaceae
Source: RefSeq, a predicted model, not a curated record